GAAAUUCAAGGGAUGACAUGAUAAAAAUAGGGGGCUUAAAGAAGUAUAAAUAAGGGCAAGCAUUUAAGAUUAUUCACUCAUCACUCACUCAUCAUUCUUUCAUCCAUCUUUCAUUCAGUCACUUUCUAUUUGAGAGAGCAAUUCAGAGGUCCUUUUGAGUAGUCAAAUUUGACACUUUGAAGAGUACUUGUGCAUAGGAGCAAAGAAUAAGAAAGGAGGAAAAGCAGCAAAAGCAGUGCCAUAGAGAAACAUCGGAUUUGACUUCUAGUUUCUUUCCCUUUAAUCUUUUAAUUUUGUUGAAGUUGAUAAACAUGAUUUCUAAUUAUUUUUCUGCUUUCAAUUUAAUUAUAAUGACUUAAUUUUGUUGAUGAUAGAUUGAUUGCAUAUCCUUAGCUUUUAUUAUUAAUACUUUGUUGAUGCUGUAAUGCUUUAGUUAUUUAUUCAUUUCAGAUAAAAUCAUGAUCAUGCUACUCAUGCAUAAUUAACGUAGGGAGGCAUAAGAACUAAUUAUUUAAUCCAAACAAGAUGAAAAUUACUAGACACAAUAUUUGAAUGGUGCAUGUCUGAUAUGCUAAUGAUUAAAUUAGUAAUGUUAUUGAGCAAUAGUGCUACCUUGCAUAAGUCCUUUAUGAUGUUUGUUUAAUAAAAUUUGAAGUUGGUUGAGCAUAGAAGUAUGCUAACUGCUUUAUUACUCACAGCUUUAUUACUUGUUAACUGUUAACAACUGUAUACAGGUACACAUUAUUUUAUAUUUUCAUGACAACAAGAAAAUUGUAUUUCUCAACCUUCACGUGCUACUUCAGUGUGCAUGCUUGCAUGGUGUAAAGUUGCUGAGUAAUGCACUGAAGUCGGUCUCUCAAGGUAUCGACUUCAUUUCUCCUCCACAAACUCGAUUAGUUUGCUAAAUAAUUGAGGAUGUCAACUACUUUAUUAAUUUCUAAAACAAACUCAUAUAUACGAGAAAAUAAGCCGAAAUUUUCCAGACAUCACUGUCAAAUUUUCAUAGGUAUUUCUACUUUUAAUAUUGGAUGGAAAACCUCAUAAAUUGUAUAGUAUUGUUGUAUUCAAAACUAUAUCAUAUAAUUACAAUGAAAUGGAUAUAUAUGUAAGUCAUCUCUCUCAUCCAUUCACAAAUAUAAAAGAAAAUUAAAAUAAAAUAAAGAAUAAAAAAUCAAUCCGGCGUGUUUUUUAAUGUUUAUAUAUGUUUAUUUUCUACUUCCAAUUUUGCGUUUCGUUUCAGCAGGAAAUGGUUGCCUCCCAUUUCGAUGCAAAGGCUGGCCAACUCCAUUUCCUAAUUUCCUUGAUGGUGAUGGUCCUGACAUGGGAUAUGCUUUUUUGCUGCAAAAGAUUUACAAUGCAUUUAGAAUAUUCGACAUGUUCAUGUAUGGAUGUAUGUAUGUAUGUUGCCUUACCUCCGUUCUGGAGUACUUGUAGACUUGGAAGGAGUUUUUUUGGUCUUUGAUCCAAUCCCAAUCCCAUUGGUUAUACAGCUUAGUUUGGACUGAUCGAAUUGCCAAAGAAAAUCGGGCUCGGACAAGUGGCUGGUAGAGACAUCGAGAUCAUCUAUGUCAUUAAUAUUGGCGAU
This 1585-nucleotide long non-coding RNA is filed under the name Gossypium barbadense (sea-island cotton). RNAcentral's name for it is "long non-coding RNA (GBAR_LNC007437)". Lineage: Eukaryota; Viridiplantae; Streptophyta; Magnoliopsida; Malvales; Malvaceae. The record is from RNAcentral.